CGAGCGGCAGCACGGAUAGUUUACUAUCUGGUGGCGAGCGGCGGACGGCUGAGUAACGCGUGGGAACGUACCCCAAAGUGAGGAAUAAGCUUCAGAAAUGAAGUCUAAUGCCGCAUAUGCUCUUCGGAGUAAAGCUUUCGAGCGCUUUGGGAGCGGCCCGCGUCCGAUUAGGUAGUUGGUGAGGUAAUGGCUCACCAAGCCGACGAUCGGUAGCUGGUCUGAGAGGAUGAUCAGCCAGACUGGAACUGAGACACGGUCCAGACUCCUACGGGAGGCAGCAGUGAGGAAUCUUCCACAAUGGACGAAAGUCUGAUGGAGCAACUCCGCGUGCAGGAUGAAGGCCUUCGGGUUGUAAACUGCUUUUAUGAGUGAAGAAUAUGACGGUAACUCAUGAAUAAGGGUCGGCUAACUACGUGCCAGCAGCCGCGGUCAUACGUAGGACCCAAGCGUUAUCCGGAGUGACUGGGCGUAAAGAGUUGCGUAGGCGGUUUGUAAAGCGAAUAGUGAAAUCUGGUGGCUCAACCACACAGGCUAUUAUUCGAACUCACAAACUCGAGAGUAGCAGAGGUAACUGGAAUUUCUUGUGUAGGAGUGAAAUCCGUAGAUAUAAGAAGGAACACCAAUGGCGUAGGCAGGUUACUGGGCUAUUUCUGACGCUAAGGCACGAAAGCGUGGGGAGCGAACCGGAUUAGAUACCCGGGUAGUCCACGCCGUAAACGAUGGAUACUAGCUGUUGGAGGUAUCGACCCCUUCAGUAGCGAAGCUAACGC
Molecule: ribosomal RNA, 770 nt
Filed under: uncultured bacterium
Lineage: Bacteria
Description: bacterial SSU rRNA
Rfam family: Bacterial small subunit ribosomal RNA
Source: RNAcentral